RNAcentral lists this transfer RNA (67 nucleotides) under Ellipes minuta. Its description in RNAcentral is "tRNA-Glu". The record is from RNAcentral. Lineage: Eukaryota; Metazoa; Arthropoda; Insecta; Orthoptera; Tridactylidae.
GUUUACAAAGUUUAAAUUUAAACAUUACACUUUCACUGUAAAGACUGAUAAAUGUUAUCUGUGAGCC